UGCAAGUUCGAACGGGUGAAAGCCAAGCUUGCUUGGUGGAUCAGUGGCGAACGGGUGAGUAACACGUGAGCAACCUGCCCUGGACUCUGGGAUAAGCGCUGGAAACGGCGUCUAAUACUGGAUAUGAGCUCUUACCGCAUGGUGGGGGUUGGAAAGAUUUUUUGGUCUGGGAUGGGCUCGCGGCCUAUCAGCUUGUUGGUGAGGUAAUGGCUCACCAAGGCGUCGACGGGUAGCCGGCCUGAGAGGGUGACCGGCCACACUGGGACUGAGACACGGCCCAGACUCCUACGGGAGGCAGCAGUGGGGAAUAUUGCACAAUGGGCGAAAGCCUGAUGCAGCAACGCCGCGUGAGGGAUGACGGCCUUCGGGUUGUAAACCUCUUUUAGCAGGGAAGAAGCGAAAGUGACGGUACCUGCAGAAAAAGCGCCGGCUAACUACGUGCCAGCAGCCGCGGUAAUACGUAGGGCGCAAGCGUUAUCCGGAAUUAUUGGGCGUAAAGAGCUCGUAGGCGGUUUGUCGCGUCUGCUGUGAAAUCCCGAGGCUCAACCUCGGGCCUGCAGUGGGUACGGGCAGACUAGAGUGCGGUAGGGGAGAUUGGAAUUCCUGGUGUAGCGGUGGAAUGCGCAGAUAUCAGGAGGAACACCGAUGGCGAAGGCAGAUCUCUGGGCCGUAACUGACGCUGAGGAGCGAAAGGGUGGGGAGCAAACAGGCUUAGAUACCCUGGUAGUCCACCCCGUAAACGUUGGGAACUAGUUGUGGGGACCAUUCCACGGUUUCCGUGACGCAGCUAACGCAUUAAGUUCCCCGCCUGGGGAGUAC
This 819-nucleotide ribosomal RNA is filed under the name Microbacterium sp. Mb3. RNAcentral's name for it is "bacterial SSU rRNA". It matches the Rfam family "Bacterial small subunit ribosomal RNA", at positions 56 to 883 of the family's 1533-position model. The record is from RNAcentral. Lineage: Bacteria; Bacillati; Actinomycetota; Actinomycetes; Micrococcales; Microbacteriaceae.